Molecule: ribosomal RNA, 390 nt
Filed under: uncultured bacterium
Lineage: Bacteria
Description: partial 16S ribosomal RNA
Rfam family: Bacterial small subunit ribosomal RNA
Source: RNAcentral
AUACGGAGGAUCCGAGCGUUAUCCGGAUUUAUUGGGUUUAAAGGGUGCGCAGGCGGCCAUUUAAGUCAGCGGUUAAAUCGUGGGGCUCAACCCCAUUCUGCCGUUGAUACUGGGUGGCUUGAUUGCGGUCGAGGUUGGCGGAAUUCGUUGUGUAGCGGUGAAAUGCAUAGAUAUGACGAAGAACACCGAUUGCGUAGGCAGGUGACCAGACCGCAAAUGACGCUCAUGCACGAAAGUGCGGGGAUCGAACAGGAUUAGAUACCCUGGUAGUCCGCACAGUAAACGAUGAAUACUUGUUUUCGGCGAUAUAAUGUCGGAGGCAAAGCGAAAGCGAUAAGUAUUCCACCUGGGGAGUACGCCGGCAACGGUGAAACUCAAAGGAAUUGGCGG